Molecule: non-coding RNA, 65 nt
Organism: Dipodomys ordii (Ord's kangaroo rat)
Lineage: Eukaryota; Metazoa; Chordata; Mammalia; Rodentia; Heteromyidae
Source: Rfam
GGUGGCUCAGUGAUAGAGUGCUUGCCUUGCAUGCAUGAAGCCCUGGGUUCAAUUCCUCAGCACCA